GGGUCCGAUAGCUCAGGAUGGCAGAGCGCUCCGCUUUGGUGGAGAGAUCGCAGGUUCGAAUCCUGCCGGGUCCUC
RNAcentral lists this transfer RNA (75 nucleotides) under Arthrobacter phage Isolde. RNAcentral's name for it is "tRNA-OTHER". It matches the Rfam family "tRNA". Rfam says of the family: Transfer RNA (tRNA) molecules are approximately 80 nucleotides in length. RNAcentral also lists the same sequence under 5 other names. Lineage: Duplodnaviria; Heunggongvirae; Uroviricota; Caudoviricetes. The record is from RNAcentral.